GUAGUCAUUUUCUCAUAGACUUCUAUACAACCAGAGGAGUCUCCCCCUGAUGGCUAUUGGAGAGAAUGCAGCUCUUUAGCAUUGGUUCCAAUUUGGCCCACACAUAAAAACAUUGUCCUAAAGCAUUAAUAGUGGUCACAAACUCCACGGGGAACCUCUGACCACACUCCUGAUCACAGCUGAGUGUGUGCUGUGAUGCACCUGUGUUCACAUCAGAAUUAAUGUGAAAGUGUGUUUUUUCUUUGAUUAAAAUUCUUUAUACAGUCCUGAUUGUAGCGUUUAGCUGGCCUCUUAUGAGAUUUGAGCUGAUAAAUGUUGUGCCUGAUGUAGGAGAUACCUUGGUGUCAUGCCUAAAGAAGAGCAUUCCCACAGUGUCGAAUGACAAUGACCACAAAACACAAUUAAUAAAAAAAAGUGAAGAUGAUCAAAUGUGACUAAGUCAGGCCACAUAUAGCUAUGUUCAUGUGUUUUUGUGUCCAGAGGAAGAUGGUCGUCCCAGAAGAGCAAACACUCAGGAAGAAAACGAGCAACGCAACGAGCCAAUAUUGUGAUCCUCUAAUGCCGCACCAUAUCAGGGUUGCCAUGGCGAAGGCAGCAUGACUCACGGGUGGCCUUGCAGCUCUGCCUGUCUCCACCUGCUCACCCUACCCUAAUCCAAACCAGCCAAUGUAAGGCUCAGCAAUGAGACCCCUCCUCCCCAGGGAGAGGAACGGGACUGUUCCCAGCACUGGCCUAACUGUCAAUAAAUGCAUUCUCUCUGUAUUCUAACACUUUGUUAAUAUAUCAUUUUAAAUGUAAAGGGAAAUGCAUAAGUCCUUUCCAGUAUUUGUAAACUACUUCCCUUAAGAGAGAGGAACACUAGAGUAGUGAUGAUCUUGCCAUAUGAACCGUUGUUACUUUUCCAGACUGUAUUCUGAUUGGUGCCCCUCAGGCUUGCCAUUUCAGAUCCUUUCUAUACAAUAAACCAUGUAGAGCUUUUUUUACCAUCUUUUCUUAUCAGAUUGUAAUAUUCUGCUGUUUUUGAAAGUAACUGAAAUUCUUAUGUCUGAAUAUUGUGGCCAUUAAUGUUGUGGCUGCCCAAAUGUCAACACUUGGCCAAUGUAAGCAGCUGAUCUAAAGGACUGUCGGUAGAAAGCAUGUUUAGAGCAGUUUACCAGUUUUUUGUUUUUUUUUGGCAAGGUGGAAACGAUAUCAUUCAAUCUGUUGUAGCACCCUUUAACAGCACAGUGGUCCGAAUAUCAAUCCAGGAUGACGGCACAUGGGUGUCACCUGAAUGAUAACAUCAUUUAUCAAAUGUAAUGCUACAGAUGUGAUGCGCAUAACAGCAUAUUGUUGUCACCUUCAGACUUAGAUUAAAUAAAUCCCACGCAGCAAUAACAUGACUUUGAUGAGCAUGAGUCUGAGCAUUAUACCUUCCUCAGUUCUCAAUAUUGUGGUGGCUGCAAUUUGUAAUGGGAGCAAACCAGUGGUGUCCUAGAGAAACGGUCACCACUACUGUUAACAGUGGCAAGGUUCAAAGUGAAUUGGGCACUCCAAUUCCAGAUGUCAAUAUCUACCUCCUCCUACCCAUAAACCCUUGCAUGUUUGAGGUCAUGUCCUGUUAGUUUGGAUUAUGUUAUCAGUCCUGCCACAUCCAGAGCAGAGACACGGACGUACUCUGAAUACCUCGCCUACAGCAGGGAAAACAAUUAGCAACCCAGGGCUGAAGUGCUGGAGCCAGCUACAGAGUUCAGCAUCUCAAAGGGUUCAUUUAGCACCCUAUGUCUUCCAGGGGUGCAGUCUAAACGAUAACGGGACACGUUAGCAAGCUAAUGUCGUUGGCUAAGGCACUUGCCAACAUAAUACUGCAUAGCUUUCUAAUUGAUCCAUAUUCCACUGUAAGACAAGUUGCAUACUGUCAUCAGGCUUUAGCUUAAUAUACAGAAAUAUAGUUCAAACUGAUCCCACAGUUCUCAUUCUUCCUGCUGAUGCCUCUUUCGGUUUGACAGCUUCUAAAAACUUAGUUCUGUGUUUGUGUUGGUAGAGCAUUGAACCACACGCCAGCUUCUCGCCAUUUAUCUGUUUUCUAGCGAAGGCGGCGAGGAGGAACCUUGACACAAGUCAAUGGAGAGUGGUGAAUUGUUUUCCCUUCCAGUGUGGGCGGGGCUCUGUGGCUCAGGCCUGUGUUUUUGGGCCUCACUGUAAUGUUUCUUUUUGGGGAAUGGCAUUGAUCUCAUCUCCCCUAUUGAACCACACUAGAAGUCUGAAUCCACUGCUCUGGACAUGCUUGAAGUGAGCAUGCCCAUAGAGCUCCAUUCACUGCUUCACAAAAACUUUGAUAAUAUUCUGCCAGGUUCCCAGAACUCUUGCAUUAAACCUGGGAGAUGUUUGCAAGAUGUUAUGGAAAUAGGAAAUAUCACCUACUUUGCCAUACCUCAGAUCGUCCUUGUAGCAAAUCAUGUCUUUGUUGAUGUCAUCUCCUUGAGUGAAGGGAGAGACAUGUUCUGGAUCCCACAGUUAAUGCUGUAAACAAUGGCGUCAUGUUUGGACAUGGAAGUGAAGACUGAAGUUGGACAAAAUGCAAACACGAAAAUGACGCUUUUCUACUGCUCCAUUUGUAUGUGUAGAUGUGAAACUAGCAUGGGUUCAAUAAGUAGUGUGAGAUGUUGCCUGUGUGAACAGAAGGUGUUAGGAGAGGUCAGAUCAUCAACUCUUUUCUUUCUCCCUCUGUCCAUAACAUGUUUUUUAUCACCUAAGAAAAUCUCCACAAAUGAACUUCUCUGGAUUGUUUUCUCAGUUUUGUGUGUUAUCUAUCACUUAUCUAUCCCCUUUGAUUAAACUGCUUCAAUGUGCUAUUUGCUUAUUAAGUGAUGAACAAAGUUUGGAUGACUGACUGAUGUUAAAAAAGGAAUUUGUUGAAUGCAUGUUUUCCACAUGUAUUACAAGUCAUACAUGACAUCACUUUUAAAGCCGCUCUGUUAAAGCCUCUGUGCUCUACUGCCCAGAGGCAGUAGAGCUCUGUGUGUGUGUGUGCCAAGCAGCACACAGACACAGUGAGAGCCUAGCAGGUGAACACAGAGGAGCAUCUAGCAGCUACAAAGUUUUGUCUCACAGUUGUGCUGCUACCAGGUGGCUGAAAAAAGAAAUGAAUGCAGCUUUAAUAAAUGGGCUGGAACAAAAACGUAGCUGGGUUAAAGGGUCAUCAGGUCCAGGUGUUUCCUGAAAGAGUGCAGAACGUUUGUCUCCCCCCUUGGCACUGACAGUAAUUACACAAACAGCUUAGAUGUAUGCUUGCAGGAGAGAUGUGAGCUCGCCGCCCCGAUGAAUGAAUCCUUUUUUAAACAUUACACAGCAUUAGUUCUGAUAAACUGAGAAAUACCGAGAGCUGCCCUGGCGGUGACGGUGUUAAUCAGCAGUGUGUUCACUCGUUUGGAAGACGCUUGAUUGGAACAAACCGGACGUUCAUAUGUAAAAGUCCUGCACUCCAGCUUUAAGGGACAGAUCCCUAAAUGACCCCAUCAUCAGAAGGUGAAAUGUUCACUCAUCAUGAUCAUGUGCUGCUUCUCUUUUCUCAGUCAGAAUAUUUACUGAUGUUGACGUUAAAGUCCAAUUUGAGCAGCUUGUUUGAAUGUUGAACUUUAACAGAGAACUCGGUGUCAAAGUGGAAUGAAUUCAUAUUAAACAAAUCUAUAAAUGAUUUACCUUUAUUGGCUUUUUGGGAAAUUUCAUUUGCAUAAUGAACCUUGAAAACAUACACAACAAAAACAGACACUCCACCUGUGUAGUAGGCUCAAUUAAAAUAACCGUUUUAAAUUGAUUUAAUGGUUUAAAUUGGAAGACAAAAGACACAAUAUCAUACUCGGACAGAAGCCAGUCAACACGAGUCACAGGAAACAUGAACAGAUGGUGGGCUUUUGUUUUUAGUCCAUGACCUUUCACCCAGCCACAUAAACAAUCCAGAUCCACAAUAUUGCCAAAUACUCAGACAUUAGUCCAGAAUACUAUAACUGGGACACUUGGAUCGUUGUUUAUUGAACUGCAGCGUAAUGAGCUGGCUCCAGAGCUGUUUCAGGCAGCUUUUGUCUAGUUUUUGCUGUGAUUUGUCAGCAGGUUGAUGAUGGAUUCUUCUUUUUGGAAACUUUAGUUGAUGUCUUCUCCUCUCAGGGACCCCCCCAAUGAUUCUCCAUUUUGAUUUUGAUGCACCUUACAAGCCCAAAUACUCCAAACAGGAGUAGAGGUUAUCAACAUUAGGACUAUUUAGUGCCAUUCAGAGCGGUCAAUCAUAACAAAGACAAUAUUUUAAAGCAACAGUCAAUUUGAAAAAUAAGCAAUUAUUGAUCUUUCAUCUGUCUCUGGUGAACAAGAGUAUUCUUCCCAUCAUCCCACUUUCUUUCUCUUCGAUCACUGCACUUCCAUAAUCCCGAUCAGUCUUCCAAAUCACAGCGUGUGUGGCCUGAACACAGAAGCUCUCACUGUUUCAGGGUUUAUUCUGUUAACUGGAUGUGAAGUCCUUAUUGUUCUGUGGAGCUGAUCAGAUAUACUGUAGAUCACAUGAUGCCACGUACACUACAGCCACACCAUAUGUUGUAGGUUGAGCUUUCUUUUGUUUAUUAACCUUUUAUCAAGUAUUCAGUGUCCAUUUCAUUUUCUUUGUAUUUUACAUACCUCUCUUUAAUUUGAAAGUGUGUAUGAAGAUAUGAUUUUUACUUGACAUACUGCAUGCACAUCUUGAAAUGUAAAAUAUGAAAUGCUUCCUAAACUGUAUUUUUCCAAUUCAAUGUUAUUUUUCAAUGUGGAAUUACUCUAAUAUUUUUUAAAUGUUACUUUAGUUUUUUAUGCACAUUUUCAAUGCAAAUAAAAUGUUAUAUAUAUAUUAUAUAAUUCUAAAUCAGAAGUAUUAAUUGAUUAUAAUUGACCACUGUAAAAGUUUUUUUUCCAUUGACAAACUCAAGACUCGAUAUAAAUGAGUCAGGUUAAGGAAAAGUGCUAGAAUACCUGAAAAGUGUACGCUGAUGUUUGGGGGGGAUUUCUUCUUCUCUACAGUAUGCACACCCACGUUCUCAAGUGGUCAUUUAAGCUGGUCAGCAAACAGAGUGUCUGUUGAGGAGAACUGAGCAGCUGGAUCAUCAAACACUAACAGAAACACUAACAUCAUGAAUGUGCAUAUGAACUGCAGUGGAGCCGUUUAGCAACAUGACCAUUGUUUACAGUGAUAUGUCUUCAGAAUGUAGGCCAUAUCCUCACAGCAGGAAGCACACGUAGGGCUAGACACUCUCCAUAUCCUCACAGCAGGAAGCACACCCAGGGCUAGACACUCUCCAUAUCCUCACAGCAGGAAGCACACGCAGGGCUAGACACUCUCCAUAUCCUCACAGCAGGAAGCACACCCAGGGCUAGACACUCUCCAUAUCCUCACAGCAGGAAGCACACCCAGGGCUAGACACUCUCCAACCCUUUUAUACGGAGCUCACCUCUUCAUGUUGCUGGUAGUCUUUGAAAUGUCCAACAGGAAGAAAACAUUGGCCCUCGUUAGAUCUGAAACUCUGACUUUCUGAUGAAAGUGAACAUUAGACAUGUUUUCUUCUCCAACAAUUCGUAGUGAUUGUUGUGUUUUCAUUUUUAUUUGUAAGUUUUCUUGUAUGAAAGGAAAUUUCUUAGUCCUUGAUGUCAUUUUGUUGUACCUUGUCUGAUUAGUUUGUGAGUUAUAUUUGUAAAUACAAUAACAUGAUCAUUAAAGUUUUUUCUAUGAA
This is a long non-coding RNA of Anarrhichthys ocellatus (wolf-eel), 5729 nucleotides long. RefSeq lists it as uncharacterized. The record is from RefSeq and is a predicted model, not a curated record. The transcript is spliced from 2 exons. NCBI's taxonomy places the organism in Eukaryota, Metazoa, Chordata, Actinopteri, Perciformes, Anarhichadidae.